AUGCCAAAUUUUAAUCAUACACCAUGAAGCUGCAAAGUUGAGAGCCGUCCAACAGAUUUCUGAAUUUAAUUAGUGUGACUACUUGUUGGAAAGAGAUCAUCAUCAUAUGACAAAACAAAUACCCAAUAUAUGUUCCCAUCACAUCACACAACCAAGAUGUGCAGUCAAGCAUGAG
Triticum urartu is the source of this 175-nucleotide non-coding RNA. The record is from RefSeq and is a predicted model, not a curated record. NCBI's taxonomy places the organism in Eukaryota, Viridiplantae, Streptophyta, Magnoliopsida, Poales, Poaceae.